RNAcentral lists this long non-coding RNA (789 nucleotides) under Sus scrofa (pig). Its description in RNAcentral is "lncRNA (ENSSSCG00070000887.1)". The record is from RNAcentral. Lineage: Eukaryota; Metazoa; Chordata; Mammalia; Artiodactyla; Suidae.
CCUCCUAUUUUGAUAUGCCAAGAUAUAUUUUUCCAUAUUAAAUAUUUUGAAAAAGUUGAAUGCAGCAUUGUGCCAGAUAAUUAAAAUGUAAAUUUCAGUAUCUAUGCUUGCUUUGUGAUUUUUUAAAAAAAUACAUUUAAGUUAGUUGUCUUUUAAAACAUGUGGUCAGCUGUUGUAUUCACAUAUGGUCAAAUGAUCAAAGUCUGAACUCCUCUCUAAUUGUCCCCCCGCUGCUCGUCUGCUCUGUCCGUGAUCAAGGCCUCAGCAGGUGAUGAGAAAGGCAUGAGAACAGGCUGGAAGGAGAAUGAGGCACCGAGAGGCCCAAGCUGAAAGAAAUAAAGACUUCCAGUACAUCACCCUGACAGUAAAGAGCGAAGGAAAAGUGACGUCUGAGAACUGCAAUGUGCUCUGCUUGAAGAAAAGGAAGUUGGGUUGUGAUAAUAUAAUUCUGGAUUCCAUGGAAUGUUGUGGCUCAUGGAAGAGGCAAGAGAUAAAAGACAGAGAAACAAUAUAGUGGUAAGUUUCAGGGGUUUUAUUUUAUAUUAAAACAUCAUUUUGUGACAAAUAUGGACAGAAUGUGCAUAAGAGUAUUAUAUUUCUGCGCAUCAAAAUGGAAACAUGCUUACUAGGCUGUACUUUGUAUUAUCUGAAAAAUACCAAGUGCUCUUCAUUGUAGCCUUUGUCCUAAAAGGCUUGCAAAAAAUAAUUCCAGAAAAGGUGCGCUGGCAAUCAACAGCUGGUUAGCUAGAGGGAAAUAAAUAGCCCUCCUGAUGAAAAUACCUGAGAAGC